AUGCUCGUUUUGGCAGCACAUAUACUAAAAUUGGAAUGAUACAGAGAUUAGCAUGGCCCCUGUUCUAGGAUGAAGCACAAAUUCAUGAAUCAUUUCAUAUUUUU
Molecule: small nuclear RNA, 104 nt
Organism: Capra hircus (goat)
Lineage: Eukaryota; Metazoa; Chordata; Mammalia; Artiodactyla; Bovidae
Source: Ensembl